UACAGAGGUCCCAAGCGUUACUGAGAAUCACUGGGGUUAAAGGGUGCGUAGGUGGUCCGUUAAGUCAGUUGUGAAAUCCCCGGGCUCAACCCGGGAACUGCUUCUGAUACUGGCGGACUUGAGGCCAGUAGGGGUCACUAGAACUGACGGUGGAGCGGUGAAAUGCGUAGAUAUCGUCAGGAAUGCCGGUGGUGAAGACGGGUGACUGGGCUGGUUCUGACACUGAGGCACGAAAGCGUGGGGAGCGAACGGG
This 253-nucleotide ribosomal RNA is filed under the name uncultured bacterium. RNAcentral's name for it is "partial 16S ribosomal RNA". It matches the Rfam family "Bacterial small subunit ribosomal RNA", at positions 524 to 776 of the family's 1533-position model. The record is from RNAcentral.